AUCAACAAAUCACUCUCAGCUCUUGGAAAUGUUAUCAAUGCCCUAACUGCUGCUAAACCAAAUCACGUGCCUUACCGUGACUUGAAGCUUACACGCAUACUUCAAGAUGCACUGGGUGGCAGCUCAAGAGCUGCAUUACUAUG
This is a long non-coding RNA of Hordeum vulgare subsp. vulgare (domesticated barley), 143 nucleotides long. RefSeq lists it as uncharacterized. NCBI's taxonomy places the organism in Eukaryota, Viridiplantae, Streptophyta, Magnoliopsida, Poales, Poaceae. The transcript is spliced from 3 exons. The record is from RefSeq and is a predicted model, not a curated record.